RNAcentral lists this ribosomal RNA (1542 nucleotides) under Salmonella enterica subsp. enterica serovar Rubislaw. RNAcentral's name for it is "bacterial SSU rRNA". It matches the Rfam family "Bacterial small subunit ribosomal RNA". RNAcentral also lists the same sequence under 67 other names. Lineage: Bacteria; Pseudomonadati; Pseudomonadota; Gammaproteobacteria; Enterobacterales; Enterobacteriaceae. The record is from RNAcentral.
AAAUUGAAGAGUUUGAUCAUGGCUCAGAUUGAACGCUGGCGGCAGGCCUAACACAUGCAAGUCGAACGGUAACAGGAAGCAGCUUGCUGCUUUGCUGACGAGUGGCGGACGGGUGAGUAAUGUCUGGGAAACUGCCUGAUGGAGGGGGAUAACUACUGGAAACGGUGGCUAAUACCGCAUAACGUCGCAAGACCAAAGAGGGGGACCUUCGGGCCUCUUGCCAUCAGAUGUGCCCAGAUGGGAUUAGCUUGUUGGUGAGGUAACGGCUCACCAAGGCGACGAUCCCUAGCUGGUCUGAGAGGAUGACCAGCCACACUGGAACUGAGACACGGUCCAGACUCCUACGGGAGGCAGCAGUGGGGAAUAUUGCACAAUGGGCGCAAGCCUGAUGCAGCCAUGCCGCGUGUAUGAAGAAGGCCUUCGGGUUGUAAAGUACUUUCAGCGGGGAGGAAGGUGUUGUGGUUAAUAACCGCAGCAAUUGACGUUACCCGCAGAAGAAGCACCGGCUAACUCCGUGCCAGCAGCCGCGGUAAUACGGAGGGUGCAAGCGUUAAUCGGAAUUACUGGGCGUAAAGCGCACGCAGGCGGUCUGUCAAGUCGGAUGUGAAAUCCCCGGGCUCAACCUGGGAACUGCAUUCGAAACUGGCAGGCUUGAGUCUUGUAGAGGGGGGUAGAAUUCCAGGUGUAGCGGUGAAAUGCGUAGAGAUCUGGAGGAAUACCGGUGGCGAAGGCGGCCCCCUGGACAAAGACUGACGCUCAGGUGCGAAAGCGUGGGGAGCAAACAGGAUUAGAUACCCUGGUAGUCCACGCCGUAAACGAUGUCUACUUGGAGGUUGUGCCCUUGAGGCGUGGCUUCCGGAGCUAACGCGUUAAGUAGACCGCCUGGGGAGUACGGCCGCAAGGUUAAAACUCAAAUGAAUUGACGGGGGCCCGCACAAGCGGUGGAGCAUGUGGUUUAAUUCGAUGCAACGCGAAGAACCUUACCUGGUCUUGACAUCCACAGAACUUUCCAGAGAUGGAUUGGUGCCUUCGGGAACUGUGAGACAGGUGCUGCAUGGCUGUCGUCAGCUCGUGUUGUGAAAUGUUGGGUUAAGUCCCGCAACGAGCGCAACCCUUAUCCUUUGUUGCCAGCGGUCCGGCCGGGAACUCAAAGGAGACUGCCAGUGAUAAACUGGAGGAAGGUGGGGAUGACGUCAAGUCAUCAUGGCCCUUACGACCAGGGCUACACACGUGCUACAAUGGCGCAUACAAAGAGAAGCGACCUCGCGAGAGCAAGCGGACCUCAUAAAGUGCGUCGUAGUCCGGAUUGGAGUCUGCAACUCGACUCCAUGAAGUCGGAAUCGCUAGUAAUCGUGGAUCAGAAUGCCACGGUGAAUACGUUCCCGGGCCUUGUACACACCGCCCGUCACACCAUGGGAGUGGGUUGCAAAAGAAGUAGGUAGCUUAACCUUCGGGAGGGCGCUUACCACUUUGUGAUUCAUGACUGGGGUGAAGUCGUAACAAGGUAACCGUAGGGGAACCUGCGGUUGGAUCACCUCCUUA